Molecule: long non-coding RNA, 423 nt
Organism: Maylandia zebra (zebra mbuna)
Lineage: Eukaryota; Metazoa; Chordata; Actinopteri; Cichliformes; Cichlidae
Source: RefSeq, a predicted model, not a curated record
AAUCAAAAUCACUCCCUGUGAUCGGUGCCCUGUUGGAGGGAUUAUUAACCAAAAUUGCAACUGCAUAAAUGGCAAAUGGAUUUUGAAAUUUGAAUGCGGUGGUCCCAAAGUUAACCAAGUCACACUGGAAGCCACUAAACUCAGUAACCGUGGGGUGAUUUCUAAAACAUGUCCUAUAAUCACAUGCACAACCAGCAGUUUUCUUUUGACUGUGCAGGUAGAAGCUGGGCGUGUAAAGGUUUCCAAUGGUGAUAACAUUUGUGGAAGUUGCAACAGCGGAGUUACCAUUAAUCCUCUCAGCAAAAAGCCAACCAACUGUAUUUCAGGAAAAAAGAUUGAUAUCUCAGUGUCUAAUCGAUUUCCAAAAACAGUAAAGAUAGAUUUUCGAGAUGUCCAUGAAGUAUACAAUAUCAGUGACUGUAU